This 499-nucleotide ribosomal RNA is filed under the name uncultured bacterium. RNAcentral's name for it is "bacterial SSU rRNA". It matches the Rfam family "Bacterial small subunit ribosomal RNA", at positions 20 to 507 of the family's 1533-position model. The record is from RNAcentral.
UGGCUCAGGAUGAACGCUAGGCUACAGGCUUAACACAUGCAAGUCGGAGGGGGCAGCGGGAUUGAAGCUUGCUCAAUUGCCGGCGACCGGCGCGACGGUGAGUAACGCGUAUCCAACCUUCCGUACACUCAGGGAUAGCCUUUCGAAAGAAAGAUUUAAUACCGGAUGGCAUAGUUUUCCCGCAUGGGAUGAUUAUUAAAGAAUUUCGGUGUCGAUGGGGAUGCGUUCCAUUAGGCAGUUGGCGGGGUAACGGCCCACCAAACCUACGAUGGAUAGGGGUUCUGAGAGGAAGGUCCCCCACAUUGGAACUGAGACACGGUCCAAACUCCUACGGGAGGCAGCAGUGAGGAAUAUUGGUCAAUGGACGAGAGUCUGAACCAGCCAAGUAGCGUGAAGGAUGACUGCCCUAUGGGUUGUAAACUUCUUUUAUACGGGAAUAAAGUGAGCCACGUGUGGCUUUUUGUAUGUACCGUAUGAAUAAGGAUCGGCUAACUCCGUG